RNAcentral lists this ribosomal RNA (273 nucleotides) under uncultured bacterium. RNAcentral describes it as "partial 16S ribosomal RNA". It matches the Rfam family "Bacterial small subunit ribosomal RNA", at positions 524 to 796 of the family's 1533-position model. The record is from RNAcentral.
UACGGAGGGUGCGAGCGUUGUCCGGAUUUAUUGGGUUUAAAGGGUGCGUAGGUGGCUUGUUAAGUCAGUGGUGAAAUACAGCCGCUCAACGGUUGAGGUGCCAUUGAUACUGACAAGCUUGAAACAAGUGGAGGUUGCCGGAAUGGAUGGUGUAGCGGUGAAAUGCAUAGAUAUCAUCCAGAACACCGAUUGCGAAGGCAGGUGACUACGUUUGAUUUGACACUGAGGCACGAAAGCAUGGGGAGCAAACAGGAUUAGAUACCCGCGUAGUCC